AACGAACGCUGGCGGCAUGCCUAACACAUGCAAGUCGAACGAGACCUUCGGGUCUAGUGUCGCACGGGUGCGUAACGCGUGGGAACCUGCCCCUAGGUUCGGAAUAACUCCCCGAAAGGGGUGCUAAUACCGGAUAAUGUCUUCGGACCAAAGAUUUAUCGCCUUUGGAUGGGCCCGCGUUGGAUUAGCUAGUUGGUAGGGUAAAAGCCUACCAAGGCGACGAUCCAUAGCUGGUCUGAGAGGAUGAUCAGCCACACUGGGACUGAGACACGGCCCAGACUCCUACGAGAGGCAGCAGUGGGGAAGAUGGAACAAUGGGCGAAAGCCUGAUCCAGCAAGGCCGCGUGAGUGAUGAAGGCGUUAGGGUUGUAAAGCUCUUUUACCCGGGAUGAUAAUGACAGUACCGGGAGAAUAAGCUCCGGCUAACUCCGU
RNAcentral lists this ribosomal RNA (432 nucleotides) under uncultured bacterium. RNAcentral describes it as "partial 16S ribosomal RNA". It matches the Rfam family "Bacterial small subunit ribosomal RNA", at positions 29 to 506 of the family's 1533-position model. The record is from RNAcentral.